Long non-coding RNA from Cyprinus carpio carpio, 5829 nucleotides. NCBI's taxonomy places the organism in Eukaryota, Metazoa, Chordata, Actinopteri, Cypriniformes, Cyprinidae. The record is from Ensembl.
UUCAAUAGGCACUUUCAUACCGGAGGAACCUUAUCACAGUUUGGACAUCAAAUUUACUUGCAAUUAUAAAAUCACCCAUGUGUUUCCCCUUUGAAUUACAGUUGCUAUAAGAUAUUAUAAUAUAAGAUAAUAUUUUCACCUCUUCACAAUGUCAUCCACUUGUGUUAUGAUGUCAGUGAUCCAGUCUUCAGCUUUCUUCAGAGGAUCCGAACAGCAGUUGUGUUUCAAUAGCUUGAUCUCUGAUCAGACGCUCCAGCUUUGGGAAUCCUCCCAGACUCAGGAAAGUCAGGUGAUAAAGGAGAGCCGUUCGCUCCGCAGAUGGAAGAAGCUCCUGAAUGAAAUCUGCUUUCAUUAUAGCAUUGUCUUCGGCAAUCUCUGAAAUAUUUCAAACAUUUGUGAUGGUUAACACCCAUUGGCAUUCAAUAGCUAAUGGAUGAAAAAGCAUACUGUACAAAUAAAAGGCUAUUCUGGUUUGAACUUGUUUUAAUCAGUACACUCAAACAAAAAAAAAAAAAAACUUCUUGGUUGGUUUCAACCCAUGGAUUGAAACCAAGUCAGCAAUUGGUAGGGAAAAUUUUUGUAGUGUAAGGAUCCAAAAUAUGCACUACUAGGGACUCCCUGCAGAACUGGGACAAGAAUCACAGUCAUAACAUUUUAAAGGGAACUCACCCUAUUUCCAAGGCCCUGGUUACACCUGUUAUCAAGAUGCAUAUUGGUUAAUCGGAUCACAAGUGGACGAAGGAGACACGUACAUGUUUACACCUGCUGUCUCUUUUGUCCACUUUCAACCACUUCUGUCCUGAUUACUUGGAGGGGAGGAUUUAUGGGUGAGCAAAUGAAUGGGCGCAUACAAUUUACAUAUAAACGUGACCGGAGACGGCAGAAAAACAUACUGACAGCAGCGGUUUUCAUUUAUGCAGUGUGUGUUAGAAAUCCAGAAUGGUGAGAGAACAUUGUUUUGGAAAGGAUAAACGUACCAAGCACAAACUUAUCUCUUAGCUGAAAAUGUUGUAAUCCUGUCUGGCUUGCGUGCUUUUGUGGCUGUUUGGACACAUUCGACCACAUGAGCGUCUACACCAUGAACACAAUCCGGUCGAAUACAUUUUCAGCUACCUCUGGAAGUGGUUGAAAGUGGACAAGCUCAAAACUUUUCACACCCCGUGAUUAGCGUCGUCCAACAAAGACAGGAACCCCCUAUAUGAGGGCUGCCCCCCCAUCAGAAAAAUGCAAAAAAAAAAAAAAAACACCUAAAAUUAUGAAUGUGAAUCAUAAAUGAGUAUAAUAGGUGUAGGUAUAAUAAGAAGUCAAACGAGCGUGGAAACCAAACGGGGGACAAGGAGCUUCAGUAGAACAUCAGUGAACUGCAGUUAGAUGAGAUGCUGUCAGGCCAUAUGUCAGUGAACAUGAAUCUUCCUGUCCUGCCAGCCAUUAUACUGUACUCAUAGCACAUGCUCUAAGAAGUGCAUGCAUAAAUGUGCUGGUGCGGGCUGUAAUUAAAGCGCUAUAUCAUAUUCAAACCCAAAUUAAACUACGAGUAUGCAACAUUGUAGUUAUGUCUUCAGUUAAGUCAUGAAGUUACAAAACAUGGUGAUUAAAGCUGCCUUAAAACUGUGCACGCAAGUAUUAAUUUGUCACAUUUACAGCAGUGUCAGAGCCGAAUCAAGUCCAGCAGCGGCAGUUCUUAAAGUAGCAGCAAAAAUAAACUAAUAUCCAGCUGCUGUGAUGUCUGUCAAUCAAAGAACAAAAUUAAAAAGAGGAAAUCAAUAACUUAUGUAGUUUUUAGCUUUAUUUUUAUUAAACUUUAUUAAAUUAGGCUAUAUUUUCUUGCUGAAGGGCACAGGUAGCUAUAGGCUAUAUGACAUUUAUUAUAAUGGGUUUAUGUGAAUAUUGUUAUAAGUUCACUUAAAUUAGAAGUUAUUUUUCUUAUAAGCCUUAUAAAUGUUAAAUUGAUAGUUCUCAAUUAUACUGUAAUGUUGAGUAGUUAUAAUCAAUGGUUUAAUAUUAGGGAAAAAAUCCAUACAUCAGUUGGUAUCAGUGAUACUUUCCUGAUGGCAUUAAACAAAUAUAAAAAAAUAUACUUUGUUGUUUCUACAUUAAUUUGAAGAUUGAAUAUGAAAUUAUUGCACUAUAAAAGUAUAAUUAAAAACGUUAAUGUUAGGUGGGAUUUUCUGGUCAACUAGUAGUCGUUCACUGUGUACGUGCAUGUGUGCAUGUUUUCAUACGGAUUACAUGAUCAGAUAAUUUGCUUUCCAUUUAAAUUGGUUCAUUUAAAAGUAGACAUUUCACUCUCUAUAGAUAUAUUUUUUUAUGUCUGUAAGCAAAGAUAUACACAGAGUUUUGCACUCAAGUUCACAGGCAGAGGCAGCAGAAAGCACAUCCCUUUUGCUUUCAUUAUUUUUUAUUUAUUUUUGUAUUUUUUAUUUUUUGCUGAAUAUGAUGUUAAGUGGCAGAUCAGUGGGCUUGCAGCGGUUGAAUAUCUAAAUAAGAGACAUCCUCAGUCCCACACCAAACCUAAAAUACUAUGUGCAGGACGCAAAAUAAUUUAAUAUUUAUAAUAUGACCGCGUGAUGAGCCUAAGAACCGAACUGAUAUUUAACUCUUUCCCCACCAGCACUUUUGAAAAAAGUUGCCAGCGAUUUUGAUGAUUUUCACUAAAAUUUGAUGGCCCCCAGUAUAUUAAAGAAGAUCGGAGCCUCUACUUUAAUUAAAAAAAAAAAUAAAAAAUCAGUUUUAUUCUAGCUUAAAGCAUUCUUUUUUUUUUUUUUAUCAACACUUGAAUAUUAGAUAGGUUUCAUAAAAAUGCAUAUUUUAAAUAAAAAAAAAAUAUAUAUAUUUUUUUUUUUUUUUUUACCAAAAAAACUACAUAUGGAUAAUAUUCAGUGAGAUUAUCAAAGCAGAAAUCCAGUAAAUUGUUUUCCAUCAACACCUCCAAAGCUUGCACAGACAUAUACCACUUCCUGGAUCAACAUUUUACUCCGUAAAAUUAUGCAGUUUUCAUUUAUAUUCUGUCUAUUGCUGAUGAUCACAUUAUUUUUCAUAUACAUCUGUUAACGUAAGAGAUCACUCGUUUCUCCAUCCUGUUCACAUGUGUUUUUGUUCGGGAGGUUUUGUACUCCUUCAGAAGAUGUGUAAUAGCACCCUUCGAGUGUACAACAGUGGCGGGGAAGCAUUUUCUUCAAAAAGAUGAGAUAACUCGUCAAUGGCGUGGAAAGAGUUAAACAUGGUCUCCAUGCCAUGUACACAUGCUAUGUACAUAUAUUUAUCUAUCCUUACAAAAAAUUGCUCUUGAGAAUUUUUUUUUUAUUGUCCCCUCUACUGUUAGAUUAAAUCUACGCCCUUGAUAUUAAGUAAUGAUAAGGUAAACAUUAUGAUUUAUAGUGUUACCGAUGACUUUUAUGAUUGUGUUUGCUUUGUUUCAGAAUAAACAUACCUAACUCUCCAGAGGUUUCUGCAAUAAAAAGAGAAAAUACAGAGUGGCAUCAACAGUGAAAUGAACAGCUAUAGCUACAAAUAGAACAUAUUCAUGUGCUAACAUAACUACCAAAAAAGAGACUACCAUCAGUGUUUCUAAAUGAGCAGCAUGCACUGCAGCACUGUCUUCUUAUGUGUUUAUCAGCUCAACGCAACACAGCUGUAAGGUCUGUGCCAAGGUUUCACACCAAAAGACCACAUUUUACGUAAACAAAGAAUCUAUAUUUUCAUGUCAUUUGAUGUGAUUGGUGAAAUGACCACAUCUCAACAGUAGAGCAGAUCAUAAUAAAGUUUUAAGAGUUUAAAGAUAUUUUGUUGAUUUUGAGGGUGUCCUUCCUGGGGUCUUUCAUGUAAAUACCACAUGUAUUUAUGAGAUGUAGUGGAGUAAAAGGAAAUAUAGGUUUUAUCUAAAUUUUAUGUAGUAAAAUUUUUCCAAAGUAAACUACAGAUAUGUAUUUUUGAUUGAGCAAAAACACUUAAGUACUGUCCACCUCUGCACAGAACUGUUAUUUCAGGCUAAAUGAAUGUGUUUAAAUUGGAAGUUGUCUUACCUGUGAUUUUAGCCAUGUUUUCUUAAUGAACGUUCACUGGCAGCAUCCAACUGUAAGGACUCUAAAAUAAUGAGAAAAGAUGUGAUGUAAAAAGAAUCAACAAAAAAUAAGCCUAAAAAAAUUUUGUAACCGAAGGUGUGAAUUUACAAUCACCUCAUUUUUAUAUUAUAUUUUCAGUAAUCAGAUAAUGUUUUUUAGUACACUGAAAAAAAUUGGUUAUUGGUUAUGUUUACUCAGCAUACUCCGCAUGUUAAAUAAACAUGACUUUUACAUGAAAAAGUUACAUUUUUUGAUUUAAGUUCUCCACUUAUAUUUUUAGUUAAUCUGACUUUCAUUUAUCAUUUACACAAAAUUGUUAUAUUUUCAGAGCUCAACAGAAUGUUUAAAAAAGUUAUCGCACACAACCAAAGCAAACGCACUACUCUGAAAAGGGAACGCGAUCGUGGCUCAGGCUAAAAUUUAGACAGGGGGCCCAGAAAAUCUAGCGGCACCCCUGCUUCUGAACAAUGGUAAAACCAAAACUAAAAAAUCAAACUCUUCUAAAUCUCAAAGCGCACAUUAAACACUAUCAAGUCUUUCUCUUUACUGAAAGAUACAUGAAACAACACUUAACUGAGAAAUUACUCUCAAAAUGCAGUUUUAUGCAAUGCAUGCUGGGAAAUUAUUCAUGUAAUCCCAACUUGAAUGGAUUAAGUUACAUACAUCAAAAAUAUGCAAGAAAUGCUAUUGGGGUAUAAAUUCCAUAAAUCAGUGCUCUUUGGAUUCAGGAUUUUUGUAAUUAAUCAAAAAUUAAGAAUGCCAAGGCACUUGAAAAUAUAAUGAAAAAUAGAAAGUCUUUAUGUCAGGUGACACCCUAAUGAAGGCUUGAUAGCCACAAAGCGUCGUGUACUUGUGAUUGUUUUUAAUGUAAAGCCAUGUGAGAAUAAAGGCUUUUUAUUUUCAUUAUAUUUUCGGGUGCCUUAGCGUUAUGAGUUUUUUGACAGAUUAAGUUACAUGGGUGAACAUAAAAAAUGAUGUUGUGACAAAUGUUUUUAAAAAUUGGGUUGGAAUAUUGUGUUUAAAUUAAGUAAAUUGGAAAGCAAUAAAAUUCUUUUUUCAGAGUAGGGGAGCGCGGAGCACGACCUAACACUUUGACGUUCUCAGUUUGUGUAAAUCCACGUGGGUAUAAUUAUAAGAGUAUUAUUUUUUAGCCACAUUAAUUUCACACUUGUCUAGUACAAAUAUGUCACUUUGUUUCACUGUAAACAUUUUCCUUUAUUUAACUCAAAAAAUCGAAGUGAAAUGUGACAACAUGCCCAGUAGGUGGGGUACAUUGUAACGUUGUAACAUGACCAUAUAUCACAGUUUAAAAAGUUAUCUGAUCUAAUGAAAAAAUAUAUAUACACAAGACAAACUAAAAUAUUAUGUCAAUAAAGUAAAAUGAUUAACCUUUCAAAUAAAAUAAUGCCAUUUUUUAAGAACUAAAAAUAAUCUAAUUUUAGAGUCUGACAACGAACACUUUCUAACCGUGCUUGAGACAGCCCUGAUCGAAACACACAGCUGUACAGUAUAGCCUAGUUCAAAACAAUGUGACCAAAUAUAUGAAGAAACACAGACAUACACUCCCCUCCCUCCACACACAGCUCUCACACCGGACACACAAAGGAGCCAAAAUGCUUUACAUUAAACAUUGAUUGUCUUUAUUCCCCUGUUUCUCGUGGCUUUUCAUUAAAACUCAAAGUAAAUACUGUAAAUUAUAUCGCUAAUGUCAUAGAAUAACAUAGUUUAAUAGUAGCGGGGCACAUUGUAACGAAGUUACAACAUUCCC